This 459-nucleotide ribosomal RNA is filed under the name uncultured bacterium. RNAcentral describes it as "partial 16S ribosomal RNA". It matches the Rfam family "Bacterial small subunit ribosomal RNA", at positions 338 to 795 of the family's 1533-position model. The record is from RNAcentral.
CCUACGGGAGGCAGCAGUGAGGAAUAUUGGUCAAUGGCCGGAAGGCUGAACCAGCCAUGCCGCGUGAAGGUCAGUGCCCUAUGGGCGUUAAACUUCUUUUGUGCGGGAGCAAUAAUGGUCACGUGUGGCCAGACGAGAGUACCGUACGAAUAAGCAUCGGCUAACUCCGUGCCAGCAGCCGCGGUAAUACGGGGGAUGCAAGCGUUAUCCGGAUUUAUUGGGUUUAAAGGGAGCGUAGACGGCUGUGCAAGUCUGAAGUGAAAGCCCGUGGCUCAACCGCGGAACUGCUUUGGAAACUGUAUAGCUUGAGUACAGGAGAGGCAGGCGGAAUUCCUAGUGUAGCGGUGAAAUGCGGAGAUAUUAGGAGGAACACCAGUGGCGAAGGCGGCCUGCUGGACAGAAACUGACGUUGAGGCUCGAAAGCGUGGGGAGCAAACAGGAUUAGAUACCCGAGUAGUC